Molecule: ribosomal RNA, 417 nt
Filed under: Triticum aestivum (bread wheat)
Lineage: Eukaryota; Viridiplantae; Streptophyta; Magnoliopsida; Poales; Poaceae
Description: partial small subunit ribosomal RNA
Source: RNAcentral
AUGAAAAAAAAAUUCUCAAAUCCAAUUUUAGGAUAUGUUAGGUUUACAAGUAUGCAAUCCUGCAUUAAGGUAGUUUUUAAUGCGAUCGAUUAUCUAAAUUUCCUCCUGCUCUCUUUACAAGUAUGCAAGGCUCAUAUCUCAAGUAUGGUCGAAGCAUUGCUGUUAGGCAAGGUGGUUAAUCGUGUCCAGAUUAUUGAUGAGUGGUUCUCAUCCUUUACUGUAGCUUCACCAAAGUUGUAUUGUUGCAUGCUUGCAGAUACGCGUAGUUUCAGUUUGGCUUGUGAUAUUGAUAUUUUAUCAAAUAUAAUUCCAUGCAUGAUGCAAAAAGAUCAUUCGGAAAUGAGCACGUUCCAUGUAAUCUGGGUGGCACUCACCCAUAUAUUCUAUGUACAGAACUCUCCGUUUGCACAACAUUAG